AAAAAAAGCAGGAGUCGUUACAUUCAGCCACCGGCCCGCGUUCGUGGAUCUAUUGCAGUUUGAACAGAACAGAAAAUGAGGCUUUUCGAAGCACGGUGCUGGAGUCAAACAGGAAACCAGUCGGUAUAGUAAAGGAGCUCUCCCAGUGUUCACGGCAGCUUUGUGACCCUUUCUGAGUGGAGGUUCUUCGGAUGAAGUAGCUGUGCUGAUAGUGUGGUCACCAGGAACAGUGAUUGACAGCGAGAGACCCCCACCCCUUUCCCCUACCCCCUCCCCUAGCAACAUGGACAGUGAGGAUGAGGUACGUACCAACUGGAGAGAAAGGGAGGG
Polyodon spathula (Mississippi paddlefish) is the source of this 330-nucleotide long non-coding RNA. RefSeq lists it as uncharacterized. The transcript is spliced from 3 exons. Lineage: Eukaryota; Metazoa; Chordata; Actinopteri; Acipenseriformes; Polyodontidae. The record is from RefSeq and is a predicted model, not a curated record.